This 579-nucleotide long non-coding RNA is filed under the name Cricetulus griseus (Chinese hamster). Its description in RNAcentral is "lncRNA (ENSCGRG00015035278.1)". Lineage: Eukaryota; Metazoa; Chordata; Mammalia; Rodentia; Cricetidae. The record is from RNAcentral.
AUAUAGAUAAUAAAAAUGAAAAAAAAAAAACAUUAAAAUUUAGAACCUGUUCUUGUAUUUGGUGUGAGCUGUGGAUCAUCUUACUGCGGGUGAAUCUGUCCUGUUCAUAUUUGUUGGUAUGGCUGGACAGUGAUCUGUAAAUUAAGAUGGAAAGAGACUAGAUUCCAAACUCCUGAAGUACGUGUUGUUUCUCCUCUUCUACAGCCUACACCAGUGUUUGGAUAAUCUUAAGACUCAGAAGGAAGAGACCCAUACUGGGCAGCAGAUAGGGUCUGACUGGCUUUGAACACAGACUGGCUUUGAACCUGGGAUGGUCCUGACCACCUUCUGAGUGCUUGGCAGAGGCGUAUACAGCUGCACCCGACUAACGUUUCUUUGCUCACUCAGGAAAGUGGACCCUUCAUCUUGCCAGAGCAGUACAGUAGAGCUGACACUGUUGGAAUAGGUGUGGGCAAGCCGGCCCGGAAGUUGUGAGCAUGGGAGAGCAGUCCCCGUUACUCUUCUGUCAUGGAGCAGCAUGGCCUAGGAGAGAUGUCCCCACCCCCCUGAAGCCCAUCAAAUCGCGAGGCAUGUGGAAGA